GGAGUUCUGUAUCGCUCUGCCUGUUGUGUUUGGCCAGUGUUAUUAGGCUGUUUGACUGUGGUGUUUAAGCACAUUAUAAUUACCUUGUCCCUCAAUCUGGGCUAACAUCAUAACAUACCUGUGACCACCACCAUGGACAAUGCCCACUCAACUGGCCUCGGGGAAGGAAAGCCAAAUUAAAUUCCCACACUAAUUAAGGAGGGCACCGCGACAGAAGCUAUUCUGUCCGUCCCUGCCCAGAUGAAAGACGUCUGCACUAACGAGAUGACCAGUUCAGAUGAAACACAUGCUGACAAACCGGGUCGAUUCCAAACAGUGCCAGCCUAAAUUAGGUUGUCUGAAUCAAAUCAUAAUGUUGAAAUCGGGUGAAAAUGUCUUCGGCACAACAGUUCCAAUUGAUAUUUAUAAGAUAUUCCUGGGGAUAUUCUCCCUAUUUGGAGAUCCAUGUAUCCGUACCACUGGUUAAAGAGAGGACGGUGAGAGGAGAGGAAAGAAAACAAGCCGGCAGUAUGGCAGUAAUCACGGACUGGCUGUCAGGGCUGCUGCCCAUGAUGGCGGGUCAAGGUGUCUGGGCCUGUGGAGGAUGGCCCACACUGAAUAACCUUAUGAGCUUCCCCGAUCAUUGGGAUUGGGAGGGAAAACGGCUUUUUAUCUUUAUGAGCCUUGAAUUCCACGAGGAUCAGAGAGAGUGGAAGAGGAGAAGCAGCUGAGGUGUAAUGGACCCCUAGAGAAGAACACAAUCCCUGCUGAGAAUGAGGCAGUGAUAAAAGAAGGCACAUUUCUCGUCACUAAAGGAAGGUCAGCCAUCAGAGGGAGACAAAGCACCAUGGUAAUCCAUUCAGCUUUGCUAGAGAUCUGCUCUCAACUAGUUGGACAUUCUUGACUUUGAUGACCAUCCUGUUGAUAACCACCCUGUUAAUCUUGUUUAAUUUUCCUCAAAACUUGACCCAAUUAAAGGGCUUCGGGGACACUGUAUGGCUUUCUG
This is a long non-coding RNA of Esox lucius (northern pike), 985 nucleotides long. The record is from Ensembl. NCBI's taxonomy places the organism in Eukaryota, Metazoa, Chordata, Actinopteri, Esociformes, Esocidae.